RNAcentral lists this ribosomal RNA (271 nucleotides) under uncultured bacterium. RNAcentral's name for it is "partial 16S ribosomal RNA". It matches the Rfam family "Bacterial small subunit ribosomal RNA", at positions 30 to 324 of the family's 1533-position model. The record is from RNAcentral.
AUUGAACGCUGGCGGCAUGCCUUACACAUGCAAGUCGAGCGCCCCGCAAGGGGAGCGGCAGACGGGUGAGUAACGCGUGGGAACAUACCCUUUGGUUCGGAAUAACUCAGGGAAACUUGAGCUAAUACCGGAUACGUCCGUAAGGAGAAAGAUUUAUCGCCAAAGGAUUGGCCCGCGUCCGAUUAGCUAGUUGGUGAGGUAACGGCUCACCAAGGCUACGAUCGGUAGCUGGUCUGAGAGGAUGACUCGACGCCACUAGUUGGGACUGGAG